Molecule: non-coding RNA, 297 nt
Organism: Monodelphis domestica (gray short-tailed opossum)
Lineage: Eukaryota; Metazoa; Chordata; Mammalia; Didelphimorphia; Didelphidae
Source: RefSeq, a predicted model, not a curated record
GCAUACUGGGAAGUUUUGGCCAGGAUCCAGUUUUGAUACUUCUGAUUCUUUCCAAACUGGAAGGGGACCUCAGAGAUCAAUCAAUGCUCCUAUGGCACAGGUGGAGAAGAUGAAGCCUAUGAGACUAAAUCAUUAGUCCCAGUUCACAUCUCCUGUGACUCUUUGUGAUCCCAUCAAGGAUUAUCUUGGCAAAGAUGCUGGAAACUGAGAAGGUGAUCUCUUUCAAAAUGGAGAGCUGAGCAAAUGCCUAUGAAUGAGGAGGAGACUGGCACCUGCACAGGGUGAUGAUAAAUGGAG